This 490-nucleotide ribosomal RNA is filed under the name uncultured bacterium. Its description in RNAcentral is "partial 16S ribosomal RNA". It matches the Rfam family "Bacterial small subunit ribosomal RNA", at positions 30 to 507 of the family's 1533-position model. The record is from RNAcentral.
AUUGAACGCUGGCGGCAUGCCCUACACAUGCAAGUCGAACGGCAGCAUGAUCUAGCUUGCUAGAUUGAUGGCGAGUGGCGAACGGGUGAGUAAUACAUCGGAACGUGCCCUGUAGUGGGGGAUAACUAGUCGAAAGAUUAGCUAAUACCGCAUACGACCUGAGGGUGAAAGUGGGGGACCGCAAGGCCUCAUGCUAUAGGAGCGGCCGAUGUCUGAUUAGCUAGUUAGUGAGGUAAAGGCUCACCAAGGCGACGAUCAGUAGCUGGUCUGAGAGGACGAUCAGCCACACUGGGACUGAGACACGGCCCAGACUCCUACGGGAGGCAGCAGUGGGGAAUUUUGGACAAUGGGCGAAAGCCUGAUCCAGCAAUGCCGCGUGUGUGAAGAAGGCCUUCGGGUUGUAAAGCACUUUUGUCCGGAAAGAAAUGGCUCUGGUUAAUACCUGGGGUCGAUGACGGUACCGGAAGAAUAAGGACCGGCUAACUACGUG